Molecule: unclassified non-coding RNA, 2977 nt
Filed under: Megachile rotundata (alfalfa leafcutting bee)
Lineage: Eukaryota; Metazoa; Arthropoda; Insecta; Hymenoptera; Megachilidae
Description: uncharacterized LOC100879796, transcript variant X1
Source: RNAcentral
UAUAUACAGUUGGCAAUCAUUAGUACUAAAAUGGUGUUACAGUUGGAAACAUCAUGAUACGCAUUUAAUUGCAAGUUGAUUAACAACAAAUUCACGGAGUACAGUUUGUUAAAAUAAAUGUGACCUCCUGCUAAUUUACAGAAUGCAGAUGGUGCAUUUAUUUUGGAGUUUUUUCUAUAUUUUGUUUAUUUGUCAAGUUAAUGCUGAAUAUACUGUCACAUUGUCUCAUGAUGGUCCUGUAGUAUUAGGUGGAACCAUCACUUUUAAAGCUGAUUUGUUUGAAGAUGGAGAAAGACCGUCAGGAACUUUUAAGUAUGCAUGGAAAGAUAAUGCAUUAACUCCUCAUGAAUAUGAGACAGAAACAUCAAAUACAACAACAUAUUGGAGUUUAAAUAUUUCACCAGAAAAUUAUACUGUUGGCACAUAUGCAGUCGAAGUAGUUGUUGAGAAAUAUUUUGUAAUUAUUUGGAGACAGCUCACCAGUGUUCGAACAAUAUUUCAUGUAACUGAGUUUCUUAAUGGUGAUAUUGGAAUUAUCCAAUCUAAUAAAACGGUAGCGGAUACAUAUGUUUCUUCUAUAUCUGAAACAAACAUGACGAUAAAUAUACGUAAAGGAGAUCUAGAUUACUUGAUGAAUGCCACAUCAGUAUCCAUUUACUGGUUUAUAGACUGCAAAUAUUACGGGCAAACGAGCGAUUUCUAUUUUCUUUACAAUUUUACAAUUCCUGAUAGAUCACAUAUUGUGGAAGCUUUAGUACUUGCAUCAUAUGACCCAAUAACAACAACUACUGUAUCUCCGACAACUGUUCCAGUAUCAACUGUUUCACCUAAUGCAACUGUGCCAAAUACUACAGUAUCAAAUAUAACAGUAUCAAAUAUUGCAGUAUCAAAUAUUACUACCACAGAGUUGGUAACUACUGUCACACCUAAUAAUUAUGCAACUUCUAAUAUUAUAAAUGUGACAUCUCCGAUACCGUUUAUUGAUACAUCAAAUACCAGCAUGGCUACUGUGAAUAAUAUUUCUUUACCUUAUAUUUGUUCAAAUUCUUCGAUGAUCCUUCCAGAUCCUAAUAAAACAUAUGGCCAUUUUAUUAAAAAAAUUGAUAUUCGUGCACCUAUAAUGAACAUAACAGUGGAAGGUACAAAUUGGAUUCAGCCAUGGGAUAUGUUAUCUCUUAAUGUAACGUGCAAAGGUUCUGGACCUUUCCAAAAGUGCCUUUAUUUUCAUAGAGGAAAGUAUAAUGUUACUGGAAAUGAAACGUGUGACAAUGGAACUCCCCUUUAUUCUUGUAAUUUUUCCAUCAUUCAUUAUUUUUUGGAACCUAGUGUAUACACCAUAUUAAUUAUACUGGAUAACGAUGUCAGCAAACAAAUCUAUCCAUUGACAAUAAAUAUUUACAAAGUCACAACAAAGCCACAACUAUCAGUGAUUGUUGUACCUGUUUCUUGUUCACUUGCUGCUGUAGUACUCAUUAUUUUUGGUAUUGCAUAUUAUAUACAAAGCAGAGCAAGAUUUACCGUGGAAGUUGCAGACUUUGAUUUUGGCCAAAAUAAUCCAGAGCUAGAAUAUAAAACAUUUAGAGAACGAUUACGAGAUUCAUUCAAUAAUGCCAUAACACCAGGAAGCAAACGGAUAAGUGUAUGCCAGCCCUAUUAUGGCAGCAUGAAUCACUAACAAGUACAGAUUGUACAAACUACCUAGUCUGUGAUUAACAUUUGUGCUACUAAUCACAUAUUGCAAAAAAUGACUAACUGUUUGUUAUUUUUAUUUGUAACAUCCAUGUAUCAUAUUUUAGCUUCAUCGUUGUGCACUCAUCUUUAACUGAUUUUGCACCUAAAAUUUAGUAAUCUGUGGUUAUAAGCCUCUUAGUAAUUCUCAAACUAUUCAAUGACGUUUAAGACGGGAAAAAGAAUAAUUGAAUCAUCCAAAGUCAUUCUAUGAAUCACAAGAAAUCGAAAAGAUAACAAGUGAGAGAACUAAGUAAAGUUUAUUAUAAGAAAGAUUUUAGAAUUGUAUUUUACAAUAUAUUUUUAAGCACCAAUUAAUUUAAUCCUAAUCGAAAGCUAAUAUUCUAGCUAUAUAAAUUAAUUCAUUCCAAACGGUUCAUGAUUAAGAUUAAGAUUGUAUAUAGAACAAAUAAAGUUUGUAUACAUAGGCUGUGAAUAUAGUAUGCAACGGAAUAUUGCUUGUGAGGUUUUGUAGAGGUAACAUUUUAAUAUCAGUCUUUUGAAUUUUAAUUUUUUUUAAAAACUAAAACGCAUGUUUUACAUUUUUAGUUUGAUUUUCAGCUUCUUAUGUUUAAUCUUUCAUUAGGUGAUUUUUAAAUUACUUAACUUCUCUGUUAUAAGAAAAGUGUUAAUUAGCACGCAACGUGUAUACAUCAGUAUACAUUGUAAGUAUAGAUUACUAGUAUUAAAAAUUAAGUGGAUAAACGAAAAUGUAUAAACAUAUUUGGACAAAAUAUGUAUAAAACCAUUCUUCUAUAUGUAUAUGCAUUUGUAUGCACUUAAAUGUAUGCAUAUAUAUGUACAGUGUGCAAGGUAUGUCAUCUACCUUGAUCACUUUAAUGGGUUUCUGACAUUUAUAGAACUAUCAAGAAAACUUUAUUCACAUAAGUUACAUACAUGUUAUCAAACUGGGCUUUGGUACCAUAAUAUGUAAAAAAUUUUCUCAAAAGUUGAUUGAAAACUAAAUGUUGGGAGAUCCAAGUUGAUUUUGAAGACAAUAUGAUUUCUGCAAACAAAUUUUCUGCAUAUUUCUACAAAUAAGAAAGAUAAUUAAGGUGGUCAAGUUAGAUAACCCACUUCAUAUAAAAUUAAAUUUGAUUAAGUUUUUUUUAAUAUUUAAAACAACGUAUUUAACUAAACUAAGUAGCUGAAACGACAAAAUUGAAUGAUAAUUUCGAAAACUUAAUCAUAAAGUAAUGAACUGUGCAGUAUUUAAAAAAUAAAAUGUUCUUGUAAAACUUGUAAAGAA